AGGGGUGCCCGGCUGUAGGUCACAGCAAUUUUUGACCCUCUGGCUCACCAGGACUCGUCCCUGUCCUGCAGAGCCCAGCAGGACAGAGGCUCGGUGCUUGCUCUGAGUGACCGCAGGGAGCUGUAGGAUGGUUCAGGGAGGGGACUGGAUGUCUGGAUGUCUCCGACACGCAUCCUAUGGUGCCUGAAAUCUGGCCAGGAGCCGUGCUGGGACCCCAGGCACCAGCCCAAGCUGCCCAGCACAGCCACAUCCCGCAGCACAGGGGUUCAGAGUGGGCACAGCACCGUCAGACCUCCUCUAACCCACCCCUAUCUUUGUGGCUGCAGCCAGAGAGCCCGAGCGCCGCGAAGGAUGCGGCACCCGCACCCCCAAAACCUGAGCCCCCGAAGAGCCCCGAACCGCCCCCGGGGACAGGGAAGAGCCCGGAGCCGGUGCUGAACGGGGCCGCCAACGGGCCCGAGGGUCCCGCAGCGGGCACCGAGGCGCAGGGGGACGACGGGCAGGGCCUGUCCCGCCGCAGGGUGGUGCGGGUGGUGCGCAAGGUGGUGCGCAAAGUCCUGCCGGGGGAGGAUGCCGGCGGUGCCAGGGAGCCGGCGCGAGACGUCAAGUCUCCCGAGCCCGUGCCACCCCCCAGAAAAGAGGAGCCAGGUCCCCCUGCGCCCCCACCACCGCCCCCCGCUGUGCCGGCCGCCCCCGCCAAGCCGGAGCCCAAAGAUGAGAUCUCAGCGGGGCUCAAAACCCUCAUGGCCAAGGGCAAAACCAAAGAGCACCGCCCGCGGCUCCGGCUGGGAGACAGGCGAGAGGAGAAGUCCCCCGGGCCCUCGGGAGGCAAAGGAGCCUCUGCACCAGGCUCCCCACCUGCUGCGGGGGACACAAAGCCAUCUGUGUCCCCGGGUGCCAAAGCCAAGCCGGAGCCUCUGGCGCAGCCUUCGGGAGGCAAAGCGGAGCCGCCAAAGGCACCCGCCCCCAAGCCCACCGCCCUGGAGAGGCACAAGAAGCAGCAGCCCGGCGAGAAGCGACAGACCCCCGCGAAAACCACCCUGGGACCCCCCCAGCAGGUGCGUGGGAGCAGGGACCCGGGAUUUGUGGUGCCAGGGGCCUGCCAGGGCUGUCCAGGGCAGUGCUGGGUGCCUGCGGGUGCCCCAGCACAGGUGCAGGUG
Molecule: long non-coding RNA, 1160 nt
Filed under: Anas platyrhynchos platyrhynchos (common mallard)
Lineage: Eukaryota; Metazoa; Chordata; Aves; Anseriformes; Anatidae
Description: lncRNA (ENSAPLG00000018189.1)
Source: RNAcentral